AAGUCUUUCUCCAUCAUUUCUGCUUCUCAAAUUUUUGUAGUUGUCCAUUACUAUGGGCUUUCAGUACAUUCUCCACUUACCUCAGAUUAUUUCACUCCCAUAACAUCUGUGCUUGUUUUACUUAUAUUACUGGCCCAGACCCUGAAGACAUUAACUCUGUAACCUCUGUUCUAACCUUUGGAAUUUACCACCCGUUGGCUCCACUUCUCUCUUCAUACAUUUAUCAGAGUCCAGAGAAUUGAACCAGUAAUUAAAGAAAGAGAUAAAAGAUGGAGAUCAAGGAAGAGGAAAAACAAAGAUCAAGUGUUGCAAGAUAACUGACACUUUGAAUCACUGCGAACGCUCUACCUUUAUUGAGGAAUUGGACCAUCUUUGAAGCCACUGCUUUGCUUAUUGUGAUAAUGCGUGGUUAAGUAAAUCGAUAGGGCAGGCUUUCCCCACAUUGCCAAGAGGUGGAAACAGGAUCAGAGGCAUUUGUGGACUUUCCUCAGGCACUGAAGCAAGUUUGGCAAACAUUGCAGCCUGUAAGCCCUGUGGGAGACUCACGAUGCCCAAGAGCAUAGCCAGGGUCCGGAGAAGGCUUGCAUGAAAGAAACCAGUUCUUUGCAUAGCCAUGUCUCACUUUUCUUCGAGCAGCACCUGAUGAUUAUCCCCGGGGCUUGGAUUUUACGUCGAAUUCUCCUUAUGCUGAAGUCAAGUCUGUUCAUUCAUAGCAUCCUCCAUCACUGGGGCUCUUUGCUGUUUGUUGGGUCUCUCCCUUAAUAGGGUUUGAUCUCCACAAGAGCAGGGACUUUGUUUAACUGAGAACAGUGCUUGCACCCAGUGGACAGUCAAUAUUUGUUGAACAGAAGCAUCAGUGAGUGGCCUGGGUGCCAGAGAAGGCAGCAGUGUGGACCGUAUCUUUACCUGUGCCGCCCCCCCUGCUAGGAACGCCUCCCCUGUCCUCUGCUCCCCUAUUCCACGCCUAUCGCUUCUCUCCAGUCUCUGACUCACCCCGUCUAAGGAGUCUUCUUGGCUACCCACCACCUGCCACCGUCCAUCCUGGGCCACACUCCCUUGGACACCUGUUCCUACUUCAUCAGACCUUGCUUACUUGGCUUUCUUCUCUGGGUAAAUUAAGGAGAGCAGGUUCAAUUCAGGGAGCAGCCUGAAGGCUGAACUGUGAUGACCGAUUGGACCCAUCUGGGAUGGAUGCUGAAGAUAGAGACAAUCACAGGCCCUGAGCUCAGGGGCCCCCUGUCCAGUGGGGGUCAUCUCCCACUGGGUCCCCAGAGCCAACUGUUCAAUUUUCAGGGUUUUUUCAAGCCAGUUGCCAAACAUGGCCCUUUGCUAAAUCAGGGUUGAACUGCAACUGUAGGCUUGCUACAGAUACAAGGGUUUGGCAACAAUCCAGAAAAGCAUUCUCUGGGAAUCAAUUGGCUAUACAGAAUUGACA
This 1435-nucleotide long non-coding RNA is filed under the name Equus caballus (horse). RNAcentral's name for it is "lncRNA (ENSECAG00000038230.2)". The record is from RNAcentral. Lineage: Eukaryota; Metazoa; Chordata; Mammalia; Perissodactyla; Equidae.